This 1008-nucleotide long non-coding RNA is filed under the name Heterocephalus glaber (naked mole-rat). RNAcentral describes it as "lncRNA (ENSHGLG00100034797.1)". The record is from RNAcentral. Lineage: Eukaryota; Metazoa; Chordata; Mammalia; Rodentia; Bathyergidae.
CCUUUGGGACUUGAAACACAUUUUUUCUCAAAAGGUGUUACAAAGAGUUGUUCAGUAUUCUCUGAUCAGGUCCAGGAAGACCCUAAAGUCAGAGGUACAGCAGAACCAGAGGGCACACACCCGAGCCCUGCAGCCAGGGACAGGUACAGAACAGAUUAAAAAAUAGAGAAUACAGGUUGCCUACAUGAAGAAAGAAAGAGAGACUUCCAGAAACACGGCAGCAACAAAUCUCCCUCUCUAAGAUUUGGAAUCCAGACACUGAAAAUAACAGCUUGGGGAAUAAAAGAAGGAAGAAGGUGGAUCCCUGGUACCCAGGAAGGACCUGAAGGGAAAAUUGAAACCUGCAGAACCACUGAAGAGACAGACCACAACACAGAAAAAGAAAAGCGCAAUCUGCCCUUUCUCCUCUCUUCUCUCUCAUGGUGGGAGAAAGGAAGAUCAGCUCUACAAAGACACAGUGAAAGUGGUGACUCCAAAGGUCUUCAGGGAGAAACACACCAGUGGGUAGAGCAGUGGAUGCUGUUUGCUAAAAAGGCGGUGAGUGACCCCAGUCCAAGCAACUGCUGAAUGCCCUCAAGAGAGUGCUUGGUCAGAUGCCGUUCUGGAGAGGGGCCAACUGAACCUGGGACUCAGAGUAGCCAUGGGUUGGCUUCAUCCCAGGGCUCCCAAGUUAAACUCCCACAGUGACUGGGUGAGGGACAACCAUGGGAGACAUUCAUGGUCAGGGAGCCAUGGUCAGGCUGGUAAGACACCCAGAGUGUUAUAAGCUAAGUGACUCAAGCCCUAACCCCAUGACCAGAGGCCAGGUUCAGCUUGAAGUUCUGUGGACUUGAAAGGACCAGAACUGGCACCCCACCCUAACCUGCUACUGGCUUGCUGGCAAUUAUCCAGCAUAGUUCUGGGCUCUGACUGCCUGCUUUGUCUACCAGUGAGAGCAGACUCACACCUUGAAUUGGACACUGCCACAAAACUGUAGGCUCCAGAAGAUAACCACAGGCUUGAAAUCAC